GUUUUAAAAACAAGAGAACAAACAAGAGAAAAACAAGAGAAAUAUUUCUCUUGUUGUUCUCUUGUUUUUCUCUUGUUUUUC
RNAcentral lists this non-coding RNA (81 nucleotides) under Fragilariopsis kerguelensis. Lineage: Eukaryota; Bacillariophyta; Bacillariophyceae; Bacillariales; Bacillariaceae. The record is from RNAcentral.